This 33999-nucleotide long non-coding RNA is filed under the name Hordeum vulgare. Its description in RNAcentral is "long non-coding RNA (HVUL_LNC014973)". Lineage: Eukaryota; Viridiplantae; Streptophyta; Magnoliopsida; Poales; Poaceae. The record is from RNAcentral.
CCAGGUCUGGCUACCGGGAUGAAACCCCGUGCACUCUCUAACCGGCGAACGGCGGCGCCGCCUCGCGACCGCGCAGGACGGAUAGCCAGACGCGACCGUGGCGCCACCGUCAGGUGAUCACCGUACCCUCGCCUCCGGUUCCUUGCUCUUUACCCCGCGCGCGUCUGCUGCAUUUCAACUUGCUCGUCGCGCCGCGCGCUGCAGGCGCCGCCGCCGCGCGAGUGGUCUGUUCCGGUGAUGAUGGUGCCUAUAAGCCAUUGAAAGAACGUUGGAAGACAAAUCUCCUGGCAGCAUUCAGAAACUCUGUAGGUCAUUUGUCUCGGUAUGGGUAUGGGUGCCUCGUGCUGGUCUGCCCCUGCUGCUGCUAGGUUUCAGGAUUUAGCCGGCAUACCACAUCACAUUGUAGGGUUGCGACUUGUGGUGGACGAGAUCACCACAGAGACCUAUUGAUGGGUCGGGCCUCAGCAUUUGGUGGCAGUUUUUGAUGUUGUAACUACCCACUCUGCAUGUCCUAUUUUCAGUCCGUUUUGUUCGUGAUGUUCUCUGAAUCAUUUGCUUGCUCGUCCCACUGCUUGGACCAUCGAAUUGGCCGAGUUCCUCGAUUUUACCCGUGUUGGUUCACUAGUCAGUACUUUUGUUUCGGCAAUUCGGCCACGGUGACCCUACGAUAUAUUGUCUCCUACUAGUGAUGGCCAAAAUGUUUUCAGUUUCUUCUGCUCUUUCUGUGCACAGUUUAGAAGGAGAAUGUUGGAGAUCGAUGAACCGAGCAAACUGCUCAUUAUCAUUACUCAUGGCACACACAGUUUGUGUUGCCAAGAGGGAAAGCGGAGACGAAUUACAAGAUUUCCGUAUACCGGAGUGUCACAGUCUGUAGUCUGUACAAAAGAACUAAUGAGGCCAGUCAGAACAGAACCAGUGGCUCUGUUGCAUAGACUAUACAGUCUACUAAUCUACUUGUGUAUUGCAGCAUAAUUUGCUAUGUACUCCACUAGAUAGACACAUUCCCCCGCAAAAAAUAAAAUACAUUGCUAUCUACAUUGUGAACUAGCUGAAUUUUGCCUCUGAAGGUUAGCAUCUAUGCUGUUCAGGAAAGCUACUACCUCCUGUAUUGCUGGCCUCAUUCCAGGAUUGUGGUUGACGCACUGGCAAGCAACUUCAACCACCUUCAGCAUCUGCUCUUCAUAUCCUGUGCCUCGAAGCGCUGGAUCGAGUACUUCAAUCUGCUCCCCUUUGGAUCUCAUCUCCUGUACCCACUUGACAAGCUCUUUUGACCUGGGACAGAUAUGAACAGGCCGCCUCCCCGUGACAAGUUCAAGCAGGACCACUCCAAAACUGUACAUAUCACCUCUCAGUGUAGCCACCCAUCCUUGCCCGUACUCUGGGGGGAUGUAACCGAGAGUACCGACCAACUCAGUGGUAACAUGAGUUCUGUUGGGAAAGAUCAAUCUGGAGAGCCCAAAAUCUGCAACAUAAGCUUUGAAGUCUUUAUCUAGUAGUAUGUUGCUCGACUUGAUGUCACGGUGAACAAUGUGAGGCUUGCAUCCAUCAUGGAUGUAAGAUAGACCCUGGCUUGCUCCUUGUGCAAUCUUCAGCCGGAUCGGCCAGUCAAGAAAUGGGUUGUCAUCGGUGUCCCUGUUGUGAAGCCAAUCAUCCAGGCUGCCGUUCUCCAUGUAGGAGUAUAUCAGUAGUCUUGAAUCUCCCUGUAUGCAGUAGCCCCAGAAUGGUACAAGAUUGUCAUGCUGCGCCAUGGAGAGUGCAUCAACCUCUGCACUGAAUUCCCUUUCCAUCAGACACAUUUCGCUGUUAAGCUUUUUUAUGGCGACCUUUGAGCCAUCAGGUAGCUCAGCCUUGUAGACCAGCCCAUAACCUCCACAGCCAAUGAUAUGAUCCUUGUGAAAGUUCUUUGUAGCCUUCAGGAGAUCGGCGACGGUGAGUUUGUUUUGUUCUCCCUUGCCUCGUGGAACCAUCACCAAGGAGUAUUCUGAAUUGAGGUUUGAAGAUGUCGCCUCUAUGUCAUUGUUGUUGUUGCUCCACCUUUUGGUCAAGAAACUUGUGCCCCUGAGCAAGAAAAGGAGACGAGCCAGCAAGAAAAGAAUGGCCACCCCUCCAAAAAAUACACCAAAUGCAAGUGCAAAAACACCCUUCUUUUUCUUUCUUCUCUGGGUGAUCGGAGGUGUUUUUGCUGAGCUGCAAUGGUUUACAAGCAUAUGACCGCACAAUUUUGGGUUGCCAUCAAAGCUAGAAUUUGGAAACGUGCUAAGCUGGCCCACAGCUGGAAUAGACCCUUCCAGGUCAUUAUUGGAAAUGUUGAAUUUUGAAAGGAAGUGCAGAUUGCUUAAUGCAGCUGGAAUUUUACCAAUGAGAUGAUUACCAGACAAGUCGAGCGUCUGCAGGCUCGUGAGGUUGCAGAUCGCUUCUGGGAUCUCUCCAGAUAGUUGGUUAGAGCUCAGGUUGAGGAAAAUGAGUCCUUUCAACUGACCAAUCUUCUGAGGUAUCAUGCCAGUGAAGUUAUUUAUCCCUAGAUUCAGUACUUUGGGAAAAGCACUGGGCAUGAGAUAUUGCCUAUAUGGACUCUUAUUAUAAACAGGCAGCUCAAAGACCUUUGGUGCAGUUUUGUCUGACUUUAGCAUUGGCAUCUCCAUUAAGUCACUGGGAAUUUCCCCUGCAAGCCUGUUGUUUGUUAUGUCUAGAUAGAAGAGCAAGUUUAAGCUGCUGAUCCAGUCAGGUAUUGACCCAGUGAGGUGAUUGUUGUGUAAAAACAGCAUCCCCAAGUUGGGUAGCUUUGAUAACCAAUGAGGAAUUGUUCCAGACAAUGAACAAUCAUUCAUGGAAAAGACCUGGAGAUUGUCAAAACCAUCAGUAUUGACAUCCUGUGGCAUGGCCUCAUGCAUGAAGUUGAAUCCAAGAAGAAGGGUGGUGAGGCUCUUGCAGCUCCUAAGGAUCUGAAGUGUUCUUGUGAUAUCUGUAAGGUUGUUUUUAGCAAGUGAUAGGAACGAGAGAGACUUCAGAUUACCUAUUCUUUCUGACAACUGGCCAUGGAAAUUGUUACUGGAUAGCCGUAGUGCAGUCAGCCUACUGCAGGAGUAUAUGCUUUCUGGAACUGUGCCUGUUAAAUUGUUGUAGAGAAGAUCUAAAACUUUUAGAUUGGGCAGGCCUGUGAAGUUGACCUUGGUAAGUUCUCCACUGAAGUUGUUGCUCUUGAGGUCAAUUGUUACGAGAUUAGUGCAGUUGCUGAGAGCUGAUGGCAGCUCCCCUGACAUGUUAUUGUGCUCCAAAUGCAGCUCCUCCAAUCUCUUGAGGUCACCUAUGGACUCUGGAAUACUGCCGCUGAGCUCAUUCCCCCCAAGAUCAAUGGUGACCAGAUUCGUGAGCUUGCCGAUGCCAUUGAUAGCUCCUUCUAAACCAUUGCUAGGUAAAGAGAGGUGCUCUAGCGAGGUAACUUUGAAGAGCCCGUCGGGAAGAGUCCCAACGAGGUUGUUGUAUCCAGCGCCAAACAGUUUCAGCGCGGAGCAGUUACUGAGCCCUGGAGGGAUGUUUCCACUGAAAUCGUUAAAACUGAGGUCGAGCACCGCCAAAGAUGGCGCGCUCACACAGGGGGCAGUUGGUAUCCGCCCGGUAAGGCUGUUGGUGCUGGCAUUGAGCGCGACCAGGCUCUUCAUCCCCUCCCAUAUAGCGGAUGGAAACCUUCCUGUAAACAGGUUGCUCGAGAUGUUGAGUACCUGCAGAGGCCGCGCAGGUGUCGAUGGUGGCAGAUCGCUCAGCCCUCCUGUGAGAAGGUUGAAGCUGACGUCAAGGACGACGAUGCUGCUCGACGACACCAACUCCAGCGGCAAGCCGCCGGACAGCGAGUUGCGCGACAGGUUGAGGUGCAGGAGGCCGGUGAGGUUGCCAAGCGAGGACGGCGAGAUGGACCCCUCGAGGCCCCGAGAAGCCAGCGAAACAUCGGUGACCGCCCCAUCGGGACCGGCGCAGGCGAUCCCCUCCCACGAGCAGCAGUCCGUGUCCCUCCGCCACGCCGCCGCGAGCCCGUCGUCCCGCGAGAACCCAGCGAGGAGCCGGAGGAGGGAGCUCCUCUCCUGCUCCGUGCAGGAGCUUGCCGGAGAGGCCAAGGAGGCGAGGAGGAGCAGCAGCAGGAGCGGCAGGGGCCUGCUGUCCGGGCAACGGUGUGGCUGCAUCUGCAUGGCUUUGUGAGGAAGCUGGCAAGGGGGAGCCAAUGAGAAUGGGCGGGCUGGUGAAGAAAGAGCACGAGAGGAACGGGGGCGCUCCUUUUUGUUUGAUGAUAUCUCUCUCUCUCUCGCUCUCGGGCCAAGGAAAAAGAAAUGGGUCAAGGAUUGGCUGCUAUUGCCCUAUCCGGCACAACGCCGUCCACGUUCACACCUUUGACAUUUUCGGCAGGGAUCGCCUGUCGGUAAGUUGACCUCGCGUUCAUGGUAGUUAGCAGUCAUCCAUGAUUAGUUACUUGUCCUAACCGGGCGGGGCGUGUUAAUCUACUACUUACUAGCAGUCGUUGUUGAUCAAGUCCUUGAUGGAUGGUCUGUUAUGUUAAUUCCGCGUUUAAUUUACUUGACCUGACAUGAAUAACAUGGCGGCUCUCCUAACAGGUAACUGGAUUGUUGCCUCAUCUUGUCCUGCUGUGUUAUUUGAUGAUGAAUCCCUUUGGCCCAUGAUAGAUCCAAGCCGGUUUACAAUGUGUGAUGGGCGAGGCAGCAGCAUAUAUAGAGAGGGAAGUGGUGCAUGGUUGAAGGCCGCCGGCAACGUCGCGGUCAACGCGUGUAUGCGGCAUGGUUUUGUAUAAAGAGCAUCCAAGUGGAGGGCGAUGGUGAUUUCGAGCAAGGCGACACGCCGAGGCCGAACCUGAGCAGAGCAGAUAAGGAGCGGAGAUACACGCUGCCUUUUGGUAAGCAAGGAUACUACUCUAGUACUCCGUAAUAUAGGUUAGCUACUCCAGCGACCUAUAUUACGGUACAGAGGGAGUAGUAUUUUCUACGCAUUUCUCUGCGUUUUUAGACUCAAGUUGGGACACUUGCUUCUUGUUUAGUUUCGUGGCUCUGCAUCAUCAGUCGCGGUCGGCAUAACGAAUAUCCUGCGCAAAUGGGCCAACAUUGUUUACUUUGCAGGCACCUAAGCGAGCUGUGCUUGGUCCGCCCACUUGUCAAUAGCUAGUCAACUUGACAGGUGCCUGCCUGCUGGCUCCUGUCUGGACUGUCUUGUGACUUUGUGAGAGAAAACAAACGGGGGCUGAUUUUACUUGUUCUUUUUUCAUACAAAAGGACUGCUUUCAGUUAUCGAAAAAGAAAGAAAGCAGCUUCUUUUUUUCUUGAAUACUCGUGCGUACUAUAUAUUAAAGAAGAAGAGCCAAGACCGCCCAUACAACACCUUGCGUCAACGUGUUACCCCUAGAGGUUAGCAUCAACAUCCAUCGUGACAACACCAGCGACAACCCACCUUGCCCAAACUCAACCCACACAAUGACCAAGAGGACAAACACAGAGUAUGCGGACUAUGUCUCCUGAACCAAACACCUCAAAACACCAUAAAAACACCUAACCUGACUAGAAAAAUGCACUCCCCACUCUUGGUGUCUAGAGGAUCAGCAAGCGGACAGCGGGAGCUAGCCUGACUUGAAGAAGACGUCGUCGAAGAUGUGUCGAUGAUGGAGUACAUAGCGCCCCGGAUGCUCAUACCCACAUCAACAACCCAUACAUGGCAACAUGGCACCCCAAGUAUCACCGCCGAAGCAAGUGGGACAACCGACCAGUUGCUCCUCCGGACGCACCCCGGACACCUACGUAAUGCCUUCAAGAAGGGGAUGGUGCCGACAAGCCGCCGCUGCCUGGUUCGGUGAACCGAGCCUAGGUUUCCCCCCGCUGAUUGAACAAGUGAUGGACAUGGUUGUGGCAACACCGCAGGGAGGAGACAACGCCCACAAGCGACGCCAUUACCCGCAGCCGCGGUCGUGCCAGAUUUCUCCUCAGUCACGUCCAUCAAAUUCCGGAGCACCGCAAACUGGAAGGGAGGGCAAAGUUGCCACCUUGAACUAUCAUCGUGGAGAGGGGGGAGGGAGCCGGAUGUCACCGCGCCGCCAAACAACAAGUCCACCACAACCCUUGAUCGAGGGAGACCAGGACCUUCAUCUGCCCGCAACAGCCCCUGGUCGAGGGAGUAGGGCUUUUUUGUUUGAAACAUGAGGUUCCACACAUGAAUGCACACGUGCACGCACAAACCAACAUAACAAUUCUAGCAAACCAACUUGUAAUUGAAUGGUUAGGAGGAAUGAAGGAGUUUAAGUCUCAUAUUUGACAUUGAUAUUUGCAUUUUUUUCGGAUUUAUUCCAGGUUAGACAUGGGUAUGGGCAGCCCAGCCCGAACCUGGCAUGAAAAACCCGAACCGGGCUCGGGGUUGAAUUUUCAGCCUGUCGUGUACUUUGGGUCGGGCUCGGGCUUGAAAAAAUAGGUAGUUUACACGGAGGCCUGACCCGUCUCGUGCCGAAAUUGCUCUUUUUAAUCCCUUUGGGUCCAUUUUUUUUCGCUGGGCCGGGUUGAGCUUGGGCCUAGACUUUGCCCAUUGGGCUUUUAGCCCAAAACCCGGUCCGACCCGUGGAAUUCCCAGGUUUAUUUCAGGCUUUUUGAUGAUGUUCGUUCGGUGUGGGGAGACGUUUCUGUCGACUACAAAGUCGUUUGUGGUGACUUCGUCAAUACUAAAAUGAUGUGCCGGCUUAUUAUUUUUAAGAUGCUUAUAGGGGUAGGGUGUACGUGUGUUCGUCAGGAUAAGUUCGUAAGUGUAUAUUUAUGUAUGUGAACAAUUUUAAUUGUACUCUUUUUCUUUUAAGCGUAGACUUCAAUUGUACUUUGUUAAAAAGAAAAAGAAAAACGAAUAAUUCUACUUCGUCAGGCAUGUAGAACGUUAUAAAGAGAUGUUUGGUCUCCGACGGGAGGGAGUGCGAUUCGGAGAAAGGAUUGCUAUGGUGCAUGGAUUUCUCUUUUUUUUUUAGGAUGGUGCAUGGAUGUGGCCAUAUGGGUUUGGUAUCUUGUGGUCGGCUGCCUGUGAGGUGCUUUUCUGGUGGCCAUUUUUCUCACCUGUGACAGCGACUUUCUUUUUGCCGCCUUGACUCUGGUACUCCCUUCGUUCUUAAAUAUAACUUUUUUAGUGAUUUUAUGAAAAGAUUAUUUUUUCAUUUUUAAAUAUAAGUUUUUUAAAGGUUUCAUUCGUUUUUUGACGGUGCUACGGUGGGCUUACGUCGGCCUGAACCAAAUUAAUAUUAGUACAGAUAAUUACAACGGGCGGGGAGGGGGGAGUGGCGGCGAGGGGAUUGCUAGGAGGAAAUAGAAGCGAAAAAAAGAGAAGGAAGAAAGAGAAAAGUUACAAUCUCUCAGAAAGGUGAAACAACAUUGUGCACCAAUCCCGUAGAAGAAGCGUUGACUGCUCCUUUGAGCAUCUGUUCGACCAUAGCAUUAUGUCGUCUGCGGCCAUUCGGGCAAUAAGGUGGAUAGGUUGUAGCUCUCCCCUGAAAACCAUUGCGUUUCUUCUUUUCCAAAUAUUUCAUAGGAUAGCAGUGAUUAUUGUGGAGCGAGUCUUGUUAGCAGGGUGAGACCCCCAAAGCUGAGUAAAGUCCGAUGGAGGGGAGGCAGAAAUAGCAGAGAGCUCCUGCCACAGUGGUCCCAGAUGGCUGCAAAGAAGGAAUAGGUGUUAUGCUGAUUCCGAAGCAGGACAGAAAGGACAGGAGCAAGAGUCCAUUAGCCCCCUUUUGAAGCGUCUUUCGUUGGUGAAGAGUCGAUUCUUGCAUGAAAGUCAGAGGAACAUUAUGCAUUUAUUGGACGCAUAGUUCCUCCAGAUUACCGACGCGAAGGGAUCGAGAGGUUUGUUGGCCCAAACUGCCUUAUAUGCGGAGUUGCAAGUUAGAGGCUUGCCGUCGAUACGUCCCCUUCGUUUGUCCUGAACCUGCACAUUCAAGGUUUCACUCGUAGACUACAUACGGAUGUAUAUAGACAUAUUUUAGAUUAUAAAUUCACUUAUUUUGUUUUAUAUGUAGACUCCUAGUGAAAUCUAUUAAAAGAUUUAUAUUUAGGAAUGAAAGAAGUACAUACGAAGUAAAAUAAGUGAAUUUAUAUUUAAAAAUAUGUUUAUAUACAUUCAUAUACACUAGUGGGGACGGGGCCUUUAGCCCCGACCCGUAAGGGGCUUUAGUCCCGGUUCACCAACCGGGACUAAAGGGGAGGGACUAAAGGCCUAACCUUUAGUCCCGACCCUGUUACAAGCCGGGUCUAAAGGUGCUCCACGUGGGCACCUCGUAGCGCCCCAGGGGCAGGACCUUUAGUCCCGGUUCGUUACACGGCCCGGGACUAAAGAUUUUCAGAUUUUGCUGGUUUUUGGGUUUUUUUUUAAUGAAAUUAUUUUUGGGUUUUAGGGUUUUAUGGUUUAGGUGUCUGGGAGAUUAACGUGAUGCCUCGUUUGAUGUUCGGGAAUUAGUUUUCAUAUAAUUUAAAUAGAAAUAAUUAUGCAUAUAUAUAUAAGGUUAACUUAUCUUACAAGCGAGCAUAUAUAUACAAUUAUAUGGAGAUCUGAAUUAUCGGGACUAGAGCCCGUCUAUUCGAUUACAUGGACGAACAUCAAUAAUGGCCCCUAGCUACACUAAAUCGUCCUUUGUCAUCUAUAACUUCCGUCCUCAGAAAGGUCGCAAGCUCCUCUGCAACAGCAAUCGCGCGUUGCUCUGGUAGGACCUUCGUCGUCAUGGCCGUGUGCUAUAUAAGAAGAGGACAUGAAUAUGAAUAUCAAUCAUGAUAACAAAGAAUGACGGGUAAAAAUAGAGGUGUGAAUGUUCAUUGCUUACGUCGAAUCUGUGAUCCUUGUGCUGAGAGGUAAACGUGCGAAUGGUCUCGCAAACAUAGUAUCCGCAUAGAUGCGUUCCCCGUGGCUGCUGGUCGCACUUUACGAGAAUAGAAUAUAUAUAAUCAAAAUAAUAUUCUAGCAUCAUAAAUGUAUUAAAGAUUAGUAGAAGUAUAUCAUACUACUACUUACCUGAGCCGCUCUAAAGGUCAGCUUCUCAGGAAAGUUACCGGGAGUCACGCACUUGAACCGCUUCCAAACCCUGCCCGACAAGGAUAACGAUUUGCUAAGUUUUUCAUUAAUUGAUAUAUCAGAAAAUCAUCGAAAGAGACCGAUAGAGCGCAAGAAUGAUUAAAAUUACCCUUGGAGCAUGUCCUGCAGGCUUUGGAACUAUUCCAAGGGUCUCGAUAAUAGGUCGAAGGCAUCAACUCUUCCCUUAUCAAUUUGAAUGUCCAACAGAAUCCAAUGGAAGCUGCACAUGUAUAUAUAUAUAUAUAUGUCAGUAACUUAUCAAUUACACUUAUAAGUGAAUGGACACAACAGAGUAAAGAUCCUCACCUGAAGUUGUAUGGAAACAGUAUGUGGUCACAGAAAUUUUGAUCUAUUAGAAACCUUAGAAGGUUUUCCUCAGUCUCCUUGGGUUUGUCAGUUAGCGUCGCUAUAUGUAUUUUAUCUGGGUCAAUAAACCCAAUAUUUAGGAUGCUCUUACUUUUAUAAUCCAGAAUCUUCAUUCUGCAUAAUAGAGUACAAGUUAUAUAUAGACAAUGAAUUGAAAUAACUAAACAAGUUAUAUGUAGACAACGAAUUGAAAAACUUACAGACAAUAGCAACUCAUAAGCGAUUUGUCGAGGGCGUCGCCAGUGUACAUCUGGAAGAGUUCAUCAAAGGCGAUAUGGAUUUCUUCGGAGCGGCCGUAGUACUCGCGUGGGACACUCAGCACGAGCAUCGUUCUCCCAUUCUUUGAUUCACUUAAGUACCAUUUAUGCAAGUAACGCAUAUUUGUUGGGAGAUCAUCUUUGCUAACCAAAGGCUCACCCAUGAUAAACUGUGGCUUAGGGGCUACCACAGCCUUGGGUAUCCUGUCGUCUUGGGAAGCCAGCAAAUCUUCAACCGAGACACCACAUUCAGCCGCCAACUCCUUUGCUCUUUCAAAAGCUAGCCCCUGCACUGGAGGGGGAACAUUCUCGGUUAACACCUUGAGGGGUGGGAUCGACUGUUUGGCCUGUUGUCCAAGCUGAGGAACGUCUGAUUUUUUCUUGCUUGUAGUUGAACUUGAUUUGCUCCCACUUGCACUUGCACGUGAUCUGCUCUUUUUCACUUCCUUCUGCAAUGUGCGUGUAUAGUCAUCAGGCUUAUGGUGUAAGUCAUACUGUGAUGGAAGGGUCAUGAAGUAUUUUGCAAAUGCUAUUUGCUUCUCGGUGUAUUCCGGGCGGGGCUCGGGUUCCUUCUUUUUCAUCUGCGCAUCAUGAUGUUCCUUUGCUAUCCUCGCAUUUUCCUCGGCGGUACGAUCAUAAGGUAUGAUAGGAAGAUUAGCAUGACGUACCUUUGGGAGGGGCGACCAUUUGCGCUUUGUGGUGCUCUGUGGCUUAGGAAUCAUCGGCGGAGCGUUCUUGGUGGCACGCUCCCGCUUAGUAUCCGGAGCGGGCGGCGGCGGAGACGGACGACCCAAGUCCGGCGGCGGUGAUCGAGAUGGACUCUUGUUGUGCUGGCCGACGUCAUGUGGAGGGCUUGCACGUGAUCUGCUCUUUUUCACUUCCUUCUGCAAUGUGUGUGUAUAGUCAUCAGGCUUAUGGUGUAAGUCAUACUGUGAUGGAACGGUCGUGAAGUAUUUUGCAAAUGCUAUUUGCUUCUAGGUGUAUUCCGGGGGGGGGGCUCGAGUUCCUUAUUUUUCAUCUGCGCAUCAUGAUGUUCCUUUGCUAUCCUGGCGUUUUCCUCGGGGGUACGAUCAUAAGGUCUGGUAGGAAGAUUAGCAUGACGUACCUUUGGGAGGGGCGACCGUUUGCGCUUUGGGGUGCUCCGUGGCUUAGGAAUCGUCGGCGGAGCGUUCUUGGUGGCACGCUCCCGCUUUGUAUCCGGAGCGGGCGGCGGCGGAGACGGACGACCCAAGUCCGGCGACGGUGAUCGAGAUGGACUCGUGUUGUGCUGGCCGACGUCAUGUGGAGGGCUUGGAGGUAAUGGAGGUGUAGGUGACCUGCGACGACUCGGAGGCGGUGUUGUCCUUGGGGCCGAGCCUGGAAGCUUGAUGUAGUUCUUGUCCCAUAGGAUGACUCCACCCAGUACUUCUCCGAGUGUCCUCUCAUCUUCGGGUCCAGCUAUGUCGAGCUCCAUAUCACGAAACCCCGUCAGGAUUUCAUCCACCCCGACUUUAGCAAAGCCAGCUGGAAUCUCACGGCCAUGCCAGCGUGCAUCCGGGCCAGAAGGUAAAGCUUGUCCGACGGCCACCUUCAUGGAUAUGUUCUUGAAUUUCUGAUGGAGUUCACAUGAUGUUGACUCCUUGAUUCCAUCCACGGGGUAGCCGGGACCGUCCUCUAUCAUUCUUCGUGCAUCGUCGGGCGAGGCUUCAGAUUCAGCCACGCUGCUUUUCCGCUUAGAUGGGGCGCCGGUAAUAUCAAGUGCAGGAUCUUCCUGACGCGGUACUCCUCUAAGCUCAUCAAUCUGCUUCUGUUGCUCGUUAAUCCUGGCAAGCAACUGGUUGAACUUGUCAUUCUCCUCAUCCUGCUGCCACUUCUUUGCUCUCUCUCGGCUUCUGUAAGUGUCUUGGUCUCUGGCAAACCCAAGCCACCACGGGUAAGAAGGACCAAAGCCUCGCGUUCGUCCUCCAUGUUCAUCAUUGCCGAGGACCAGUGUGAGCAAAUCUUUAUCUCUAUCUGCAGUGAACUUUCUUUUUCCCUCCUUAAUUUCUUUCACUAUCCUUUUCCAAUUCUCCCUGGGUAUCCUAAGACCGUCAUUGCAGAUGAGGUCCCCUGUUUUUUCGUCGUACGACCCACCAUGCGCAAGGAACCAAUUUCUUGCUCUCAAUUCCCACUCAUCACGGAGUGGUUCAGGUACGAUGCCUUUAUCUAGCAGAUCUUGCUCUUUCUUAUCCCACUUUGGGAUGGCAGUCUCAUAGCCCCCUGGCCCCAGCUUGUGGUGAUAUUUCUUCUUGUCGGCAUUUAUCUUGUUCUUUUCUGAUAAUGCCUGGGCAUCUUCUGACUCCUUGUACUCUUGAAAUGCCUUCCAGUGAUUCGUCUGCUUGGCUAGAUACUCCUCAAAUACUGGCACUUUCUUUGUCUUCAGAUAGUUUUUCCAUAGCUUAUUCUUCCAGCUACGGAACAGUUCGGCCAUCUUCUUCAGAGUCCACUGCUUGACUUUGGCCCUCAGUUUGUCUGCAGCGUCUUCAUUCUCACAUUCUGGCAGGUUGAAAUGUGACAUGAGAUCAUUCCAAAGAUUAUCUUUGUACCUUUCGGCGACAUAGUCACUAUUGGGUGCCCCUUUGCGCUUGUUCUACUCCCGAACGCUGAUCGGGACGUGAUCCCUAACGAGAACUCCGCAUUGCUUCUUGAAUGUGUCAGCAGCAUUCUUAGGAAGCUUGGGUUCGCCCAUAGGUAAUAUCACCUCAAAGGUGUAAUGCGUCCGUGCAUCCAACUUUCUACUCGGGCCUCGUUUCGUAGUUUUGCUCGAUGUGGAGGCCUGAGAGGGAGAAACAUUCGUUAAAUGAAUGUAUAUGUAUACAAUAUAGAGCUAUCUCCAAUAUUUUUCACAUAUUACAAGUGAUUGUCGAACUUCAUAUGUAUACCUCGCCGGACUUUAUUAUUUCUUCACCGGCUUCUCCAUCAGUGGAGCUAUCACCUUCUCCGUCAUUGGACCUAUCUCCUGCCCCAUCGGCUUCAUCUUCGUGUCGCUCGACCUCCAUUCCAACGUCCUGGUUUAGAUAUGACGACGGAGAUUCAGCUGGUUCAACGUCGGGGCCGUCUUUGAUUAUAUCUUCGACAAGUUCUUCCUCUUCGAGGUUCCCGAUAUGUGGAUCCAUAGUUCUGCAAAAAACGGAUUCUCUUAACCUUUGUACCAAAAAAGAAUUAUUCUAUCAGGAACUCCGUUCCAAAACAACUUAAGUCCCGGGUCGUGGCUCCACCCAGGACUCCUAGAUUUCUGCAUAGUAUUCAAAGUAGGAGUACUUUUCCAAUUUGAGCAUUCAAUAAGCAAAACCAAAUCGUAAAAUAAAGUAGUAUUCAAAUUAGCAUGCAUUCAAUUAUAAGCUAAUACAUCAUCACUUUUAUCCGUACAUCGUCGAAUAUUAUCACUAAUACUCCUCGAAUACUAUCAUACAUAUACCAUCACUGAUACAUCUAGAACCGUAGCGCCCGACGGGUAUCGGCGCGGGCGGUGGACAUCCGAAGAGAAGGAACCAUCACAGGAUCAUAGCUCCAGUGAGAUCCCCGAAGAACCUGCCAGGUAUGCUCGAACCUACCCUCCAACGCAACCAUGUAGCGACGGACGUGUUCAUACUCCUCGCUGACACGGUGACGUACCACCUCCGCGGUGUCCGGAAGCCUCGGCACCCUCACUGGCCCACGCGACCGCCACCAAACAAGGAUCGGGUCAACGACGGGCUGGCUCCUCACCAACCUACGCGCCCCGGAAGGUAGCACCUCCCAAUACCAGCCGGGCGGAGCCCAGUCCCGGACAGGGCCCCUCUGAUCAAGCAGGUGUCCUCCGCCGAGUCGACGACGAGGAUGCGGGAUAGACAUCGUAAAAUGAACUAAAAAAAUAAACUAGUUCUAUUAAUUUUCUUGCUAAAAAUAAACUAUUAACACUUAAGCAUAUACAAUAGAAAAAUUAAACUAUUAACACUUAAACAUAUACAAUAGCAAAAUUAAGCAAUAAUCUAAGAAACACUAUUAACACUUAAGCAUAUACACUAUACAAUAGCAAAAUUAAAUGACACUAUACAAUAUGUCUCCUCUUCUUCUACUUCUACUUCUCCUCUUCUUGUAGUACUUCUCCUCUUCUCUUCUUCUACUUCUCCUCUCCUCCUCUUCUAUUUUUUUCUCUUCUUCUACUUCUCCUCUUCUUCUAUUUUUCCUCUUCUUCUCCUCUCCUCCUCUUCUUAUUCUCCUUUUUCUUCUUUUCUUCUCCUCCUCUUCUUAUUUUCAUUUUUCCUAAUCUUAUUUUCUUAUUUUUGUUCAUAUUUCUUCUUCUUGUAACCCUAACCUAAUUCUAAAUAUUACUAACCCUAAUAAUCUAGCACAAACCUAAUAACAAUAGGAAUUAAAUGACAAAAAAAAUCUUUUUCUUUUUCUUCUUUUCUUCUCCUUUUUCUUCCUUUCUUCUCCUUUUUCUUCCUUUCUUCUCCUUUUUCUUAUUUUCUUCUUCUAUUUUUCCUCUUCUUCUCCUCUCCUCCUCUUCUUUUCUUCUCCUUUUCUUCUCCUUUUUCUUCUUUUUUUCUUCUUUUUCUUUUUUCUUCUACUGGCCGGAGUGUUGGGGAGGAGGGGGCGGGGGGCUUACCGGCCGGAGGUGUCGAUGGCGCACGGCGAGGAGGACGGCGGCGGCGAGGAGGACAACAGCGAUGGCGAGGAGGACGGCAGCCGGCGGCGAGCAGGACGUCGGGCAGCGUGACGGCGUCGUCAAGUUCGUCGUUGUGCCGCACCGGGCAGGAGAAUGAGAGAAAGAAGAAGAGAAAUGGACGAUUUGGGUUGGAAUUUUUCGAAGUCCCGCUUAUAUAGGUGGAUCUUUAGUCCCGGUGCGUGGCUCGAACCGGGACUAAAGGGGGUCUUUAGUCCCGGGGCGUGGCUCCACCCGGGACUAAAGCCCCUCCUCGGCUGCACGAUAAGUUUAGUCCCACCUCGCCCAGCGAGGGGGACUAACACUUGUUUAUAAGCCCCGUCGCAGCUUCUUCGUCGAGCUCCUCUCUAAAGCAGGCUUACGGGCCUAAACUCACUGAAAAUUGAAACUAUAUUAGAAAUUAUAGGGAAAACUCAAUGUAAAUUCAAAUGAGAAUUUAGAUUGAAUUUUCUCUAUGAUUUCGAAUAUAAUUUCAAUUUUUUUCUAUUUUCAUAAUUAAUAAUUUUGACUAUCCAAACCAUUAUCUAUUUUGUUAUUUUCAAUUAAAAACUAUGUUUAUUAAAAAUUCUUUUUCAUAUUUGACAAUUUGACAAAACUAUGAUAAUGAAAAGUGUUUGAAAUUGAAUAAAUAAUGCAAAACUAUUUUUUAUUUUCAUAAUUAAUAAUUUUGACUAUCCAAACUAUUAUCUAUUUUGUUAUUUUUAAUUAAAAACUAUGUUUNNNNNNNNNNNNNNNNNNNNNNNNNNNNNNNNNNNNNNNNNNNNNNNNNNNNNNNNNNNNNNNNNNNNNNNNNNNNNNNNNNNNNNNNNNNNNNNNNNNNNNNNNNNNNNNNNNNNNNNNNNNNNNNNNNNNNNNNNNNNNNNNNNNNNNNNNNNNNNNNNNNNNNNNNNNNNNNNNNNNNNNNNNNNNNNNNNNNNNNNNNNNNNNNNNNNNNNNNNNNNNNNNNNNNNNNNNNNNNNNNNNNNNNNNNNNNNNNNNNNNNNNNNAAAACUAUUUUCUAUUUUCAUAAUUAAUAAUUUUGACUAUCCAAACUAUUAUCUGUUUUGUUAUUUUCAAUUAAAAACUAUGUUUAUUAAAAAUUCUUUUUGCAUAUUUCAGAAUUUGACAAAACUAUGAUAAUGAAAAGUGUUUGAAAUUGAAUAAAUAAUGCAAAACUAUUUUCCAUUUUCAUAAUUAAUAAUUUUGACUAUCCAAACUAUUAUCUAUUUUGUUAUUUUCAAUUAAAAACUAUGUUUAUUAAAAAUUCUUUUUGCAUAUUUGAGAAUUUGACAAAACUAUGAUAAUGAAAAGUGUUUGAAAUUGAAUAAAUAAUGCAAAACUAUUUUCUAUUUCCAUAAUUAAUUAUUUUGAACUUAUUUGAACUCCAUACCUUUUGUGUGUUCAAAAUGCACCAUUCUAAGGCACAUCACAAAAUUUCAACAAUUUCUGACUUCAUUUGGUAUUCUUCGUGCAUUUACUUAUUUGUUUUUGAGCUAGUUGACCCUGAAAUUGAAAAGCACUACAAAUGAACUCUGAAAAUGUUGAAAGUUGGCAUGCUAUCAUCAUUUCACCCACAUAGCAUGUGUUAAAAAGUUGAGAGGGCUACGACAAAAACUGGAUGCACUUCGUGUACAAAACGGACAAUCUCUCUCGAAGUAGAAGGGUUUCGAACGAGAACUCAUCUCUUACAAAAGGGAUUUCAUUUUUUGAACUUAUUUGNNNNNNNNNNNNNNNNNNNNNNNNNNNNNNNNNNNNNNNNNNNNNNNNNNNNNNNNNNNNNNNNNNNNNNNNNNNNNNNNNNNNNNNNNNNNNNNNNNNNNNNNNNNNNNNNNNNNNNNNNNNNNNNNNNNNNNNNNNNNNNNNNNNNNNNNNNNNNNNNNNNNNNNNNNNNNNNNNNNNNNNNNNNNNNNNNNNNNNNNNNNNNNNNNNNNNNNNNNNNNNNNNNNNNNNNNNNNNNNNNNNNNNNNNNNNNNNNNNNNNNNNNNNNNNNNNNNNNNNNNNNNNNNNNNNNNNNNNNNNNNNNNNNNNNNNNNNNNNNNNNNNNNNNNNNNNNNUCAUUUCACCCACAUAGUAUGUGUUAAAAAGUUGAGAGGGCUACGACAAAAACUGGAUGCACUUCGUGUACAAAACGGACAAUCUCUCUCGAAGUAGCAGGGUUUCGAAAGAGAACUCAUCUCUUACAAAGGGAUUUCAUUUUUUUGAACUUAUUUGAACUCCAUACUUUUUGUGUGUUCAAAAUGCACCAUUCAAAGGCACAUCACAAAAUUUCAACAAUUUCUCAAUUCAUUUGGUAUUCUUCGUGCAUUUACUUUUUUUUUGAGCUAGUUGACCCUGAAAUUGAAAAGCACUACAAAUGAACUCUGAUAAUGUUGAAAGUUGGCAUGCUAUCAUCAUUUCACCCACAUAGCAUUUGUUAAAAAGUUGAGAGGGCUACCACAAAAACUGGAUGCACUUCGUGUACAAAACGGACAAUCUCUCUCUAAGUAGCAAGGUUUCGAACGAGAACUCAUCUCUUACNNNNNNNNNNNNNNNNNNNNNNNNNNNNNNNNNNNNNNNNNNNNNNNNNNNNNNNNNNNNNNNNNNNNNNNNNNNNNNNNNNNNNNNNNNNNNNNNNNNNNNNNNNNNNNNNNNNNNNNNNNNNNNNNNNNNNNNNNNNNNNNNNNNNNNNNNNNNNNNNNNNNNNNNNNNNNNNNNAUUCUUCGUGCAUUUACCUGAUUUUUCAACCGUCGAUGAUGGUCGCUACUCCUACUUCCCCUAGUGCAUAACCAAUAUCUAGCACAAGGAGAAGAAGGAGAAGCGGCCCCCACAACAAAAGUGGUUCCGCGGCACGCCACGUGGUUCCACUGCACGCCACGUGGGACUAAUGGUCUUUCAUUUUUAAAUGACUGUUUUAAUCAAAAACAGAUCUGUUACAAAAGGGAUUUCAUUUUUUGAACUUAUUUGAACUGAAGUCUUUUUGUAUAUAUAUGUGGUCGAAAUGCAUGAUACCAUGAAGUUAAAAAGGGCUAAACAUUCAAAAGUAGCAAAUGAAGUUAGAAAGGGCUAAACCAUUCAAAUUUGGAAACUAUAAUGGCACAAACAGAAACUAGACAUAUAUAAAUUGGUCCAAGAAGUACAUGAUACUAGUCCAAACAGUACAUAAUAAUAGCUACCAUAGAUAUAUAUACAAGUGUUCGACGUUCAGAACACUACUCGUCUGAAUCAUCUAAAUCAGAAUGUCCACCUUCCUCGAGGUGACGCUGGCCAUAGUGGACGACUCGAAUCUUGCGGUACAACUCGUAUGAAACGUAUGCAUCUUUUGCUGCAUACCCAGUGUUGAUAGGAUCAAGUGGGCCCUUCUCCCAAAGUUUGUGCUGAUACUUUGAGAAACUGGUCUUCAUAUCACCAUAUCCCUCGUCGAUCAAGGCAACUGCCAUAUGAGCCAUCGAAGUCCUGUCAUGUCGAAGCCUGAAUACCGUUUGGAGAUCAACGAGGCAACCGGCUGGUAUCUCAAUACCGAGGUUGUGCCUCAUCUUCAGCUUGUCGUUCCUUAUGUCAACGGAAGCAAAAGUGAUGUCGCUGCAAAGGAAGUCCAUGAGUUCUGGACAAUGCUUGUCACUCCUGCAACAGAAACAAAUUAAAAUGGAACAAAUGUUACAUACUGCUGCAAUAAGGAAACAUGUUUCACUACAACUAAAGAGAAAAUUAUCUUUAGGAUUCAAAUAGAACAUAUGCAAUGGAACCUAGAGAGAUCACUAUAGCUAUCCAAUGGAACCUAGAGAGAUCACUAGCUAUAUGCAAUUUUCAUGACUAUGACAUAUCAUAUUGCUAUCCAAUGGAACCUAGAGAGAUCACUAGCUAUAUCCAAUUUUCAUAACCUUGGAUCAAAGAACACCGCAUAAAAUUGUAUCACUACAACUAUGAUUUCAAUGGAACAUAUUGAACCAAUCAGAUUUUUCAGAUUGUGGAACACUAUUCCAAUCAGAUUGUGUUCCCUUCAACUAAUCAAAAUUGUUUCACUACAACUAUUUGAAGCGAACCAACUAUGAUUCCAAUGGAACAUAUUAAACACUAGUUGAUUCUAAUAUGAUUUUUCAGAUUAUGGAACACUAUUCCAAUCAGAUUGUGUUCCCCUUCAACUAAUCAAAAUUGUUUCACUACAACUAUUUGAAGGGAACCAACUAUGAUUCCAAUGGAACAUAUUAAACACUAGUUGAUUCUAAUACGAUUUGUCAGAUUAUGGAACACUAUUCCAAUUAGAUUGUGUUCCCCUUCAACUAAUAAAAAUUGUUUCACUUCAACUAUUUGAAGGGAACCAACUAUGAUUGAAACAAAUAAACUUACAAUGUCAUUAUCUUGGAUCAAAGAAAGCCUCAAAACUUACCUCGCCCAUUGGAAGAUCAAGACAUGGCGUGCGAAGCAUAGUUGGAUGACGGCAACACCGCGUUGAUCGGCCAUGUACUCCAGAUCAAGCCCCAAGAACUUCUCAUGAUGCACUGCAUUGUCAAACCAUUUUUCCUUCAACUAUUGAAGAAAAAACGGCACCUCAUUGCUCAGGUUCGUGUACACGACAUCGAGCAUGGUCGUGCCAUGUGCGAGCACCUUAUGAAAGCUAGUUGGCAUGAUGGAAGAAGAGAAGGGAAGAAGAGAGGAGAAGAACAGAGAGGGAGAGCGAGAGAGAAGAAGAAACAGAGAAAUGGCGAUUGUGCUUCGGUUCGUGCUUUUCAUCGCCCGAAACGACGCGGGAUGCAAACCGUUUGGGUCUUUAGUCCCGGGUUGAGCCACCAACCGGGACUAAAGAGGUAUACCAACGGUUGCCACCACUACGGCAGGCCAUGUGUUAGUCCUUUAGUCCCGGGUUGAGACACCAACCGGGACUAAAGGGGGAUACGAACGGUUGCCACCACCACUGCCCGCCGCGUAGCCCUUUAGUCCCGGUUUGGGACACGAACCGGGACUAAAGGCUCCUUACGGGCCGGGACUAAAGCCUCGAGGGAGGCAUUGAGAGUUGGGGCGACGUGGCCAGACCUUUAGUCCCGGCCCAGAGGCAGGCCGAGACUAAAUGGUCCCGGCCAAAGGCCCGUUUUCCACUAGUGGAAAAGCAAUGCUCGAAGGUCAAAUUCCUCUUGUUUGUGCUCGUCCCACACACGUACACUUGGUUCGGCCCACAACUGUAAAAGUUCAUCAACUAAUGGCCUUAGGUACACAUCAAUAUCGUUGCCGGGUUGCUUUGGACCUUGUAUAAGCACUGGCAUCAUAAUGAACUUCCGCUUCAUGCACAACCAAGGAGGAAGGUUGUAGAUACAUAGAGUAACGGGCCAGGUGAUGUGACUGCAACUCUGCUCCCCAAAAGGAUUCAUGCCAUUUGUACUCAGACCUAACCAUAAGUUCCUUGCGUCAGCUGCAAAUCUCGGGAACUCUCUCUCGAUUUUUCUCCACUGCCGACCAUCAGCGGUGUGCCUCAACUUAUCGUCUUUCAUACGAUCUUCCAUCUGCCAUCGCAACAACUUCGCAUGAUCUUUAUUUCUGAACAGACGUUUAAACCGUGGUAUUAUAGGAGCAUACCACAUCACCUUGGCAGGAACCCUCUUCCUGGGUGGCUCGCCCUCAAUAUCACCAGGGUCAUCUUUUCUGAUCUUAUACCGCAAUGCAGUGCAUACCGGGCAUUUAUCCAUAUUCUCGUACUUCUCACCACGGUAGAGGAUGCUGUCAUUAGGGCAUGCAUGUAUCUUCUGCACGUCUAAUCCUAGAGGGCAGACAAGCUUCUUUGCUUCGUACGUGCUGGCGGGCAAUUCGUUCUUUCUUGGAAGCAUCUUCUUCAUCAGUACCAGCAACUUUUCGAAUGACGAGUCAGUCACACCGGUCUCUGCCUUCCACUUCAGCAAUUCCAUUGUGCUACCCAGCUUCUUCUGGCCAUAUUCACAAGUUGGGUACAACAAUUUGUUGUGGUCCUGUAACAUCAGCUCAAACUGCAACCUCUCCUUUUCUGUGUCGCAACCUCGCCGUGCAUUAGAAAUGACCCGGCCAAGAUCAUCAGCGGGCUCAUCUGGUUCCCGUUCUUCAUCCUGAUCUUCUUCUUCAUUGUCUUCCAUUGCGGUAUCAGCAUACUCAGGGAACAUAGAUCGGUAGUUGUCAUCAUCGUUCUCUUCUUCUUCAUCGUCGUCUUCCAUCAUAACCCCUCUUUCUCCGUGCUUGGUCCAAACAUUAUAGCCCGACAUAAAACCGGACCGAAGCAGGUGGCUCUGAAUGACUCUUGAGGAAGUGUAAUCCUUCUCAUUCCGACAUUCAACACAUGGACAAAACAUAUAGCCACCACCAUGCUUGUUCGCAUCGGCUGCAUCUCGAAAAGAAUGCACGCCAUCUCUCUAAGCGGUUGUGCGUCGAUCACCGUACAUCCAUGGAUGGCUCAUCUGUGUUAUACGACAGUAUAUCAAAUACAAUCACGAUCCUAAAAAUUAGUACCGCACGGUCUAAACGAGGAAAUAUAGUUGCUAACCUUUUAGAAUAAGUAGAAAUAAAGAGGAAGAGGUUUAAGCGUGGCUCAGGCAUCUCAUAUCGUAGUUGUGUUCGGUGAACUGAAGCGGCAUCGCUCUAACACACAUUUCAACAAACACCUCUAGUGCAUCAAAAAAAGUGGAGAGCUAGCACCCUCCCACAAUCCUCCAUCCAAGAAAAAUGCAACGAAGAGAGGAGAGGGGGGCUGUGCUAUAUAUAGGCAGAGGACUUUAGUCCCGGUUUGAGACACAAACCGGGACUAAAGGUGGUGCACAUGCGGGUUGCACACCGCGUAGCCCUUUAGUCCCGGUUUGGGACACGAACCGGGACUAAAGGCUCCUUACAGGCCGGGACUAAAGCCUCGAGGGAGGCAUUGGGAAUUGGGGCGACGUGGCCGGGCCUUUAGUCCCAGCCCAGAGGCAGGCCGGGACUAAAGGGUCCCGGCCAAAGGCCCAUUUUCCACUAGUGAUAUAGUUCUCUAAUAAAUUUUUAAAAAAAGAUUUANNNNNNNNNNNNNNNNNNNNNNNNNNNNNNNNNNNNNNNNNNNNNNNNNNNNNNNNNNNNNNNNNNNNNNNNNNNNNNNNNNNNNNNNNNNNNNNNNNNNNNNNNNNNNNNNNNNNNNNNNNNNNNNNNNNNNNNNNNNNNNNNUUUUAAAAAAAGAUUUAUAUUUAAAAACGGAGGGAGUAGUUUUUAGGAGGCGUUUGGUUUGAGAGACAUGGUAGUGUUGUUAUGCAAGUCCAAUGAGAAGGAGGAUGCUGCAUUUAUUGUCUUGGAAAUUGAAUAUGUGAGAAAUANNNNNNNNNNNNNNNNNNNNNNNNNNNNNNNNNNNNNNNNNNNNNNNNNNNNNNNNNNNNNNNNNNNNNNNNNNNNNNNNNNNNNNNNNNNNNNNNNNNNNNNNNNNNNNNNNNNNNNCGCGGGAGGAGGCGGCCGACGCGGGAGGCGCGGCCGGCACGGGAGGAGGCUGCCAACGCGGGAGGCGCGGCCGACGCGGGAGGAGGCGGCCGGCGCGGGAGGCGCGGGUGGCGGCCAACACGGGAGGAGGCCGGCGCGGGGGGCGUGGGUGGCGGCCGACGCGGGAGGAGGCCGACGCGGCAGGAUCCCAUCCUACCAACCAAACAAAAAAAGGGAUAACCCUAUCCUUCCAACCAAACAAAAAAAGGGCUAUCCCCAGCCACCUGGUUGGGGAUACCCACAACCACCCUAACCUAUCCCUCCAACCAAACACACCCUAAAACGGCAACUAGCUGUUGCUCAGGCCUGCUCGUGCCCUAGGAGUUGCCUGCUCGUGCACGAGCUGUCUGCCCAUGGUCGAGCGCCUAUCGUGCCCGAGCUGUCUGUCCAUGGCCAAGCGCGUGCUCGUGCCCGACCAAGUUGUCUUCCCAUGGCCGCAUCGAGCUCCAGAGACCACAAGUCAUCUUCAUCUGCCUCGUCCACAUUCAGCAAGGUCGCCGGAGGCUGCAAGCUGUUACGAAUAUAUACGAUUUACCAUGUGAUUUACUAGCAGAAAUAACAGAUAAAUCGUGACUAUCAAAUCGAUUAUAAGAUAAGUCAUGUAAUCAUACAUGGAGUAUGCAAGUAGCAUUUAAAAUGAUGAAUACGAACAAAACAUAUCUGAACAGAAAAUAGACCAAGAAACUAUGGCAAGAAUUCAAAGAAAAAAAGAACACGUACUGAGUUGCAACACUAGUAACAGUGGGAUUGACAUUGACGUCGUCCAUGUUGUUGAAGAGGUUGUUGACGUCGGGGAAGAAGUCGUCUCCCGUGGCGUUCGUAAUGAAGAAGCCAGUAGUCGCACAGAGCCCUCCUCAAAAACCUUAUCACCCUUCUCCCGUACAUGACUCAAAGAGGUGGGUUUCGAAGGCCUACUGUCCCGACCCGCGGUGCAUGCCGUAAGCCAGGAUGGGGAAGAACCUAGCAGCAUCUCAGAGGUUGGAACUCGAUGGCGUGAGGAAGAUGAUGUUCUCGUGUAUCUCUCUGGAGGAGAGACCUCUCUUUUAUAGACACAGGAGAAGGAGGCGAAAGGAAAUGACGAGAGGCGAAGCAAAAGAGGGAGACAAAACGAACAAGCAGCGACCGAAGGAUGCAUCAUUCGUAUUCAAUCUCCACUACAACAAAACCUUUCAGCUUUUGAGUGACCUUUCAUAUACCAGUCGUGCGUGACAAAAAAUAGGCAUCAGCUCAUUCACGGAACCCGCGACGCAUCGUGACGAGGCGUGGUGAGGCGGGUGGCAGAGGAGCGCACGUGUAUGUCUCUCUUGUUCUCAUGCUCAUACAUGUGGGGAACUAUCCUCCCUUGUAAGGAGGUCCAACUCCUAUCAAACUAGCAAUAUGGGACUAAACUUUUGUCCCGCUUCUUGCCUUGCAUAAAUGGGCUAAGUGGGCCUCUGUGACAUCCUCACCUUUUGCUACAGUAAGCAUUGUAAUUAAGCUAUAGUAAUGACCAUGAUCAGUGCCUAAUUAUUUUGCUAAGCAAGCAAUGAUCAAGUUGAAAUUCAUAUCUAAUUUCAAAUUCCAUUAUCAGAUGGCAUUGGAUUUUUGUUGAGAUAAAAUACUUCCUCAAUCAUAAUAAGAAAAAUGUUGCAUCUUUGUGGAAUAAGCCAAAACAAAUAUUGUUAAGGAAAACAACAUCACCAAGCUAAUGGUGUGGACCCCACCUUAAAAAACACAGCCUUAUAGCAAUUUUAAAGGGGGACUUAAUUCAAAUUUAAAAGGCCAACAACUUCUAAAAAUCCCCAAAAUAUUUAUGGCCAUGUGAAAUAAUGUAUUAUGUUUAUUUAAUCAAGUCACACAUUUUUACUAAAUGGAAUUAAUGCUAGAAAGAAAUAAAACAAAACCUGUAAAAUAAAAACAGAAAAAAACUGUUGGGCGGGCCACAACAGGCCCAACACCCCAAACCGGCCCACCCCCCGUGGGUAUAACUACCCGAGGAAAACCUAGCCCCUCUCGCUCACCGAAGUAUGUUCACUGACAUAGCACCCUUUGUUGGGUCAGGAAUCAGUGUCUUUAGCUCCUCCGACAUGGCCUUCUUCACCAUAGCGUCUGCUUCUUUGUGCAACUCUUCCAUGUUGCUGAAGUUUGAACACACUUCUAUGGUGUUCUCAAACUUGGUGCGAUCACCGAGCGAGCACCCUAGGAAGAAUGCCCUCCAUCCAAUGCCCCAAGGGAAGUGUUUGGGGUUGGGGUUCGACUUCUUGCCGUAGUUCAUGUCGAUGGGUUGGAGGAAGAGUGAGAGACAGAUAGGUGGAGCGGUGACCAUCAGGCUGGCUAAAUAAAGGGAUUCUAGGCUAUAGGUUUUAAUGACAAUGUUGUAACAUUCAUAUUGCAGAUAUUGACCGUUUGAAGCUCUUCAUUAUGUAGAUCCACAAGGAGAGCAAGGGGAAGGAUGUGGUGCCACCCAAGGAGCAAGACAAGGGCAAGGACGUGGAGCCGCCUUUGGAGUUGGCGCCCGCCUAGACCCUUGACACAGACGACGACCAACCGAAGGAGGCCCCAACGACAAGCAUCAGCCCUACAGCCGCUACCAUUUUAUGGGAGGGCCAAGCAACUUCUGCAAGUUGAUCACGACCCCACCUGGAGGCCAUACCUAUGCCGCUGGACUUCAUGAAGCACUUCCCGUUGGUGCCACGACAGUUCAGGCUGAAGACCAACACCUGCUGCCCCCUAGAGGGUGACUGUGUGGCUGUUUAAUGGCAGGGCCACCCUUGAUUAGGGCUGGGCCACCUUCGUCGUUUCCCAUCAGAUCAAGAUAGGCUUCAUGGUGACCUUCAAGCUGCUCACUCCUGACAUGUGGAAGGUCAUCAUGUUCAAUAACGACGACAUUGAAGUGUUGAACAGGUGCGGGAAGCACGACGCCGCCUUCGCCAUGAACCCCUAAGACAACUCCGACAUGCUCUAGGUGCUUUACUUUAGUAUCGAACUGCUAUUUUAAACUGAUCUAUUAUGUGUGGCACAAUAUUUAUAUCUACUCUAUUUUGUGUUAUGUGUGUUCUUCCUGAGGCUGCUAUGUACUGGUAACCUCACCACCGUGCCAAAGAGGUUACCGUACAACAGGCGGUGCAUGCCACCAAACAACAGACUAUGUGUUUGCGCGUGCACAAGCGGGCAACCAAAUAGCAUACAGAGAGUGACACCUCAUGCAGCCUCAAGGAUAUGCAGGCAACCAAACUUAGUGCAAAUGUUAGUUUUCUACAUGUUUUACCUAGCCUGAGCUUGUUUACCCAGGCUUCACGGGUCACUUCCAGCAACUACACCUACCAAACACGUCCUCGGUGUUUUCAUGCACACUUUCCAUGUUUUCACGUUACUUCUCAAAAUAAGCAUGUUUGUAUUUUCAUGGAUAUCUCUGUGUGUUUUUAAAUGUACUUUCCACCAUUGUUUAUACUAUAAUAAUUGUCUGUGUUUGUAUGCUUGACUUUUGGUGUCUGCGAGCCUUUUCUAAGAUUGUGUGUUUGCUUGUAUUUUUGAUGUUUAUGUGUGUAUUAUCAAAGUUUUGUUUGUUUGAAGAUAGUAUGCCUUCAUGCAAUGUAGAUGUCAUGAGCCAGUAAUGCGUGUCAUGAUGAACAUGCUCUAUUUUUGAAACGCGGUCCCUUAGGGACCGAUUCAUUAAAAAAGGUUGAAGAGAAUUGCCAUGUUAGUUAACGGAAAACUCGGCCAAAACCUUUACAACACGCCCGCAAAAGCAAGGCCUACAAGGUGACGUGUCAAGCCACACAAGAACGCACACACACUGUCAUCGACAACUAGGCAGCUUCGAUUCUAUCCACGAGCAUUGCAGGGGAAAAGCGUUGGACCUGCACCGAGCCGGUACCGGAGCCGACCACCCAUCUCCUGUCAUCGUCACCGCGGAGGCACUUCCUCUCCAGCUCCGACUUCGGGAAGACAAGUGAGGCAAGACAACCCCUCAAACACGCCGGAAAAGACCGACUACCAAAGCCCAGCAACAACCCAACUCUGCUAGCAGCCGCCAUCGUUGCCACACAAGAAGACGGGCCGCAUUACCAUUGUGGGAUGGACACCUACCGAACGCAAUGCCGCAAGCGUCCAUCCCAUGGAGCGCGCAAACGGGAUCCAAAACUCUUCAAGAAGACGUCCCCAAGAAGGUCGCGACGAUGCCGACGCCGUCGCCCGACCCGACUGGGCCUUAGCCUUUCACCCGAAUAGCUGGAACCGAGCGUAUGCAGGGGAUGGACUCCACAACGACGCCUCCAAGGAGGUGUCACGGCGUCCACGGACGCCGACGCUGUCAGCCGGUAAGACGCGACAAACUUUUGUCUGGAGCACCACCCAACAUGUCACGCCCAAGAUGCGACCCUAUCCUCGAUUUGGCACUAAGGCCUCGUCAGGGAUACAAGCGCAUCUCGUCGUGUCGCAAGAAUGGAUAUCAUUACACGUACAUGUACUGAAAAGAAGAUAUAUAUAUAUAUAUAGAAUUGGCUUACACUCGCCACAAGCUACAUCAGAGUCACAUCAGUACAUUACAUAUUCAUCAAGAGUAAGAGCAGGGUCCGGCUACGGACGAAAACAAAUGACAAAAGAAGAACGACGUCCAUCCUUGCUAUCCCAGGCUGCCGGCCUGGAACCCAUCCUAGAUCGAUCAGGAAGAAGAAGAAGAAGCAACUCCAAAUGAACAAUCAACGCGCUCGCGUCAAGGAACCUUUACCUGUACCUGCAACUGGUGUUCUAGUAAUCUGUGAGCCACAGGGGACUCGGCAAUCUCAUUUCCAAAGGUAUCAAGACUAGCAAAGCUUAAUGGGUGAGUUAAGGUUAAGUGAUGAGGUUGCAGCAGCGGCUAAGCAUAUAUUUAUGGUGGCUAACUUACGAGUACAAGAAAUAAGAGGGGCGAGAUCUACGCAUAACGGACAUGAACUACUGAUGACCAAAUGAAUGAUCCUGAACACCUACCUACGUCAGACAUAACCCCACCGUGUCUUCGAUCGGAGAAGGAACUCACGAAAGAGACAAUCACGGUUACCCACACAGUUGGCAUAUUUUAAUUAAGUUAACUUCAAGUUAUCUAGAACCAGUGUUAAACAAAGUUUCCACGUUGCCACAUAACCGCGGGCACGACUUUCCGAAAGAUUUAACCUUGCAGGGGUGCUCCAACUAGUCCAUCACAAAUUACCACAAGCCGCAUAGAAAUCCUCAAUCACGAAGCUCGCGAUCUCGUGGGAUUCCCUAGUGGAAAACCUCAACUCUGAGAUUACCCAAAGCAUCACCAGAAUCCCGAUGCACAAGAUAUUUCGUCAAAGGUAAAACUAAUCCAGCAAGGCCGCCCGACGUGUCGACGAUCCUGAUAGGAGCCGCGUAUCUCGUUCUCAGGACACGACGGAUGGGUCACACUAGGAGAAACCAAACCUCGGGUUGCCCCGCGGUGGCCCCGUAGUCUGCCAAUUUGGACCAACACUCAUGAGGAGCACUCGCCCGGGGGUUGAUUAAAUUUCCUCGGGUGCCGGCGGGUCCCUAUGCAUUAUUAUUAGGUUAUUAGGAAAAAGUAGUACCAAAGUUGGGCCUUGCCAGACCAGCUUUAAUCUAAAACGAAUUAUCAAGGGGGUCCCCAUAACAACCCCGAUCGUGUUGGGAGCGCUCAUUUAUGGAACAUAACACCGAUAGCCGAAAACUAAGGGGGCAAAGGUGGAACAAAACACCAGGCUAGAAAGGCCGAGCCUUCCACCUUUUACCAAGUAUAUAGGUGCAUUAAAUUAAAUAGCAUUUAAUAUGGUGAUAUAACAAGGAACCCAUGUUAUCACAUGGAAGCAACUGCACCUGCAACUAGCAACACUAACACAGGGUUAAGGAAGCAGUAACAUAGCCAAUCAGUGGUUUGCUAGGUUGAACAGGUUGAAGGUUUUCAUGGCAUUGUUGAGAGGCUGGUAUUUAACAUGUGGUAGGCAACGAGACAUAAUCGAUAGAAGCGAUAAAACUAGCAUGGCAAUGAUAGUAAUGGUAUCUGGGGAAAUGGUCAUCUUGCCUGAGAUCCCGCUUGGAAGAAGAAUGCCUCCGUGAAGCAGACGAACCGACAUAGUCGAACGGGUCCUCACAAUCCGACACGCUUGCGGAACUCUAUCGAGACGGGGAAAACCGGAAACAAGAAUCAACACACGAUAUUCACCACACAAUGCACUACACACAUGAUGCAUGAGCAGCUGAGUACAUGCAAGUCACGGCAUGGCAAAUCACACAAACAAACACUACACAUUAAGUGAAGUUCAAUAUGCAACGAGUUGCAUAUUGACGAAACUCCACAUUUAUUAUUUAGUUCUAUCCCGAUUAGGUACACGACAAUAUUAAAUGUGGGUUAACAUGGCUAGAGGUGAAGCGUAAUUAAACUACCUAUCUAGGCAUUUUAAAUGAGAUCGGAAAUGACAUAUAGCAUCUCCGAGACGACCUCACAUGUUAAUUUACAAUUCUGUCCAGAUCUGAACUAACACAUUUAAUUGGUUGUUAAAAAGCAAAACAAAUAGGUUCACGUGAUUCUACGCGUCGUUAGAAGCAAUUUACACAUAGAGAUCAUCUCCAACGGAGCUACGGACGAAAGUUACAAGCACCGCAAGAUAUGAUGGCAUGAAUGCAAUAUGUGUGCAUCGACGGCUACGAGCACUUCAAAACAUACAACCAGCAAGAGAAAAUGAAACUACAUGAGAUUCUAAGCAAGUUCCAUAUAGGACACGAGCAAAUCGGAGCUACGGUUCAACAACUACGAGCUAAACAAGAAAACACUACAAUCUGCCAAAAUCAGUCACAUAGCAUUUUCUACACCCCACAACUACGAGCUACACAACUCCAUUCUACUCAACCCAGGCAUGACAUGGAAGAGGGCAAGAAGCACUACAACAAACAACUAACAACAACUAGCAUGGCAGCAAGGAUCACUAGGAAAAGAAGUCACAAAAUGGCAUCCCAAAACUAUUUCAGACUUGGUGAAAAUAGCAGUUUAUGAAGCUGCAGUUUUCGAUCUGAAGGCAUAUUGACAGCAGCAAAACUAUAAGCUGCAGGUCUCCAAAUGGCAUGAAAAUUCACAACAUGCUAGAGAAUCACAAGGUCUACAACUAACUCCAUUGCACCAACCUCAAAAGAGCUACAGAUCAAAAGAUAGAAGCAAGACAAGACAACAACAAAAUAUAACAGAUUCCAGACUUAGAAAUAUUUCAGCACUUCCAAAUCAACACUAUUCUAGCAAAUUGAGAGCAAGCAAACCACACCUAAACAUGCAUUUCUAUUGCAACCAAAAAUACCAGGGCUAGACUAAACAUCAAAGAACAACUCCCUAGUUGACAACUUGAUCAUAGCACGCACGGAAUAAAUCCUACGAAAUAGACAAGAGGACAACAUGGCAAAAAUAUCGCACGAACUAACUUACUCAAAAGCUAAAACUAAUUACACAGAAAAAUCCCAUGGAUUUUUCUACCCCGAAAACAUAUAAAUUACGUGGGGUUGCACAACAAAAAAAUAACACCACACGUAAAUGCGAGAUAAUAACCUAUACACGGAAAAUAACUAGCGGCAAAUCUCUACACGCAAAAAUACAAACAUCUACUCUAAAAUACUUGAAAAAGUGGUUCCUAAGACAUGAAAAUUUAUACUACGACAUUCGAGCAAUCUGGACCGCAAGAAAAAUAAAUACGGGACGUUCCCCUAUUGGGACAGCAUGCUAAACUAGACGUUUGACACGUUAAACUACGUCAAACAAUUAUGCAAGUUGCAAAAUCGUAUUCUACGCGCAAAGCUACACAAAAACCAUAUACAACUCAUCGCGAUCCGAAGUACAGAUUAAAAGAUACGGACGUUCUAAAAUCCGUCUAUUUUUCUGGAAUUUAAUAAUUUCGAAAAAUCCCUAAUUAACUAACCGGGCCGAAACCAGCAUGGAUCACUAUCUAGCACCUAGGCGAAAAAAAACAUAGAGGGCCGAGGGGAGCUCACCUUGGGCCGGCUCGGAUCGGCCUGGUGAGGAGGCUGCGGCUUGAGGCGGCGGGGCGACGCGGACGGGCCGGUGGGGCGGCCUGGCAGGCCGAGGCGAGGCCCACACGGGCGAAGCGGGACUGGGCCGGGGUGACGCGGGGCCCAGCUGGCCGCUGGAGGCUGGCGGAUCGGGGGGAGGCCGAUCCCGUGGUCAACUCCCUCGUUCGAUCCGAUCUGGAUCGGGGACGAGGCGACGGCGGUUGCGGCGAGCGCCAGCAGGGCUGCGGCCGGCGGGAGGACCAGAUGACGGCGGGGACGAGGGGACGGCGAGGCGGCGCCCAUGGCCGGCGGGCUGGAGCCGACCUCCAUGGCAGCGGCAAGAACCUCUCAUGGCGAGCAAGAAGAGAGGCGAGCAGGGGAUGGCGGCGCGGGGAAAUCGCCGGAGGCGCGACUGACGGGGCCGACGUGGUCACAACGAGGCAACUCCGACGAGCGGCCAGCCGGAGGUGAGGCGCGGGGUCGGUGGCGCUGGACCAAGGGGGUUGUGGCUCGGUGCCAUGGGAAGGAGCCCGGGGCGGCGGUGUCCGAUCCGGCUCGCGCGGGCCAGCGGCGGCGCCAGAUGGGCUUGGCGGGCCACGCACGGGCUCGGGCGGGCCUGGCGGCUCGGAGGGAGACAGGGGAGAGAGGAGCUGCGGCUGGGGUUGGUGGGGCGCGGAAAACGAGGUAGAUGGCUAGGGUUUGAUGUCUAAAAUGCAUGGGGAGGUCUAUUUAUAGACAAAGGGGGGCUAGGUUUAGCGGAAUUUCGCCCUGGUUUCAACCGUGCGGUCGGAUUCGAAUGAUUCCGAAUGCGGGAACGGAUACGUGGCCAUGUGGAGUGGUUAUCUGGAGACGAGAGGGAGAACGGGCGGCGUGGCAACAAUUUUUAAAACACCGACAGACGUCCGACGAUAGACCGAAUACGGUGCCGCUACGGUCGACCGUUCGGGUACGAGACGGACUCCGAUCGCGACGAAAAUUUGAGAGGCGGAUUAGCUAUAUUAAAAUAAGACCGCACGUCAAAUUCCAACCCAAUCAGAGAAAGUCUUACGCACACUUUUAAAACAGGGUUUCGACGAUGCCGCGGGCGCGUGCGUGUGUGAACGGGUUCAGAACGAACAACGACGAGAACCGGCAACUAACAACGGAUGCAUGUUUUGAAAACUGGCAGCAACGGGGUGCCGAUGCAAUGCAGAUGAUGCACAUGAUGCGAUGAUGAUGCGACAAAUAAAAUAAGACACGCGACGAAAACGGAAUAGAAGGGGAAUCUUCUGGAACGUCGGCAUCGGGCUGUCACACAACACCACACCCACACACAAAGCACAUCUCCGCUGACCCGCACACCUCCAACAAAGUCACCGUGCCAUGACCAAGAAGGAUCCACCACCAUCAUCGCCGCCGGGGAAACGCCGACAAGCCGAAACCAUCCAGAUCCGGCAACUCACCACCGCUUUGAACAUGCUCUACGAUAAACACGCUUCGAGCUAUGCAUCCUCAAGAUCUUUAUGUAAGUUUAAUGCAUAAAAGUCAGCACAGCCAAUUGGAACACAUUUGAAAAUAUAACUUAUUAUGCAAAUUGAUAAAAACCAAAGUACAAAGAUUAAAAAGAGGAAAAGAACUGAGAAGGAAAAGGGAAGAACCUGAAAAGAAAAACUAGAACAUGAAUGAAAAAGUCAGAGAAAAUAAAACUAGAGAAAAAUGUAAAAAAAUUAAAAGGGUAGUGGAGCAUCCAUCUCCUUUGAAAAGCUAUGUUUUUUUGUCUUCAAACGAUGCCACGACCGGCCCACCUCCUCUUCGGUGGCCCUAGGGCCAUGAUGGCGCGAUGGAUCGUGACUCUUUGCGUGUGAGAGAGCUUCGUUUUUAAAUGUUUUUUUGGUUUUGUUAGGAUUUGUGUCCUGUUUAGAAAGUCGAGACGAUAGCGGCUUCCUGAAGAUGGAAUACGGUCGUCCCUUCCUAGCCCUCGUUUAGAUGAUGGCUCUAGCAUCAUCGGAUUGUGUGUGGAGUAGUGCCUUCGACGGAUCUUGCAAAAUUCGAUCGGUGAUUGUCUUUUGUGGAUGUGGUUGGAUCCGGUCUUCAUUCGUCGAUGUUCGUGUGCCGUCAGAUUGGAUCCUUCCUAUCUAUGUGUCUCUUCAUGUGUGAUGGAUGUUGUUCUGUUGCGCUAUUCCUAUCGGGCCUUAACACUUUUUGACUGUCCACUACAACAAGUUUUACUCGACUCCGACGAGGGACGGUCGAUGACAUCGACGCACCUUCGGCUCUUGUAAUUGUUGUUAGGUGGUCUUCGUAUCUUAGAUGAUUUUUUUUUCUGGUGUUUGGUGUACCACCCAUGAUUGAAGAUGAAUGAAUCAGAAGUUUGCCCAAAAAAAAAACAUAUCACAUUUUCCUGCUGUUGGGCUGUGCGGCUCUGGCCCGUGAACCUCGCCACUGGGCCAGCCUCCCCCCCCCCCCCNNNNNNNNNNNNNNNNNNNNNNNNNNNNNNNNNNNNNNNNNNNNNNNNNNNNNNNNNNNNNNNNNNNNNNNNNNNNNNNNNNNNNNNNNNNNNNNNNNNNNNNNNNNNNNNNNNNNNNNNNNNNNNNNNNNNNNNNNNNNNNNNNNNCCCCCCCCCCCCCUCUCUCUCUCUCUCUCUCUCUGUCGCCGCGUGAUGCACUGGACCUCGGCAGCGGCGAACGGCGGCCACCGCCACCUCUUCUCACAGCAGCCGCGCAGUGAGAAAAGGUCAGUGAGCACCUCCCCCCGCCACCCCCUGGUCACGCCUACCUGCACAGGCUGACUGCGCGGUGUGCUGCGUGGUAUUCGUGGUUGGGGAAUCGGGAUGCUGCCCUCCAUGAUAGUACUACUCAUCGCAGAUCCCCCAACCGCUCAAGGAUUGGCCAAGUCGAGCUCACGCGUCUUGUAGGACAGAACCAAUCGAAGCAAACUCUUCAAUUUAGAAACCCAAAUGCCAUAGCAGGGCCAGUUUGUUGGCCUGACGUUGAUUGUUCAGACCCGGGCCUGCUACGGGCCCUAACAUUUGGGGGAAAAUUCCGGUGCCCUCUCAGUUGUUCUCGGUAUUUUGUUUUCCAUUCUACUAAGUGCUGCUUAAGAAACGUGUACUCAGUACUCCGGUGUGAAGUUUUGUGUGCGAUAUGGUUCAUGUCUGUUCUGGCCUUCUAUUGAGUUUGAGUAGAUGCCGUCGAAUCCUAUCAAUGUCCUGGCGUUCUCCACCUCGGUUCAGCUCCAUAUAUGNNNNNNNNNNNNNNNNNNNNNNNNNNNNNNNNNNNNNNNNNNNNNNNNNNNNNNNNNNNNNNNNNNNNNNNNNNNNNNNNNNNNNNNNNNNNNNNNNNNNNNNNNNNNNNNNNNNNNNNNNNNNNNNNNNNNNNNNNNNNNNNNNNNNNNNNNNNNNNNNNNNNNNNNNNNNNNNNNNNNNNNNNNNNNNNNNNNNNNNNNNNNNNNNNNNNNCAUAUAUGGAGCUGAACUGAGGUGGAGAAUGCAAGACAUUGUUAGGAUUCGACAAUGGUUUGCAAUUGUUUACUACCAUAGCAAUGUUAUAGUUUCAGAAAAAAGGAAAGAAAUAAUGGACUACACAUUUUUUCAAGUGUUGUGUAGUACAUUGCCGUGCUUUUAAAUACUGUUUAGAAACAUGUGAUGUAUACUUCCCGUGCUCUUUACAUUGCCGAUGUGAAGUUUGCUGCGUGAUGUGGUUCAUCUAUAGUUUUAAAUAGCCGGCUAUAGCCCCGCUAUAGCCUUUUCAGUAGGGUGCCGCUAAAUGGUGUCACGUACAAAUAUGCCGCUAUAGCCCGAUAUAGCCCGCUAUAACUCCGCUAUAGCUGAUUUUCAGGCCUGCCGCUAUUUACCAUAGCCCGCUAUUUAAAACAUUAAUCAUCUUGCCUUGUAUAGUUGUAUUGAGCAAGCGAUACUUCUCUAAAAGGACAUUUUCCCCAACGUAACUGAAUCCUAGUAACGUGUUAGGAUUUUCCGCUUCAACUCUCCACUCAUGUGGAAUUUUUAAGGAGUAUGCCGGAUAUGAAAUGAGUACCUGCUCAUAAUUUCACGCUUGUUUACCAUGAUACAUAAUAGUUUGAGAAAGUGAAGGAGAGGAAUGAAUUAAAACUUUACUCUGUUAGCAUCCAAGCAAAAGGAGCAUAAGAAUAGUCAGUAAUUAGUCAGUCUGCCAUGUGCACUGGACUACAAGAUAGUAAUUGUCUAAUAACUUUCUAUCUUAACUGAAUUUUGCGUCUGCAGUUUGGUGUCUAUACUUUCAAGCAAGGAGAC